UACGCAGGGGGCUAGCGUUGUUCGGAAUUACUGGGCGUAAAGCGCGCGUAGGCGGUUUUGCAAGCCAGAGGUGAAAUGCCUGAGCUCAACUUAGGAAUUGCCUUUGGGACUGCGAGGCUUUGAGGACUGGAGAGGUGAGUGGAAUUCCCAGUGUAGAGGUGAAAUUCGUAGAUAUUGGGAAGAACACCGGUGGCGAAGGCGGCUCACUGGCCAGUUUCUGACGCUGCAGCGCGAAAGCGUGGGGAUCAAACAGG
Molecule: ribosomal RNA, 254 nt
Filed under: uncultured bacterium
Lineage: Bacteria
Description: partial 16S ribosomal RNA
Rfam family: Bacterial small subunit ribosomal RNA
Source: RNAcentral